This 411-nucleotide long non-coding RNA is filed under the name Strongylocentrotus purpuratus (purple sea urchin). Its description in RNAcentral is "uncharacterized LOC115921680, transcript variant X1". Lineage: Eukaryota; Metazoa; Echinodermata; Echinoidea; Camarodonta; Strongylocentrotidae. The record is from RNAcentral.
GCAGACGACCGUACAAAUUUUGUUGACAAAUUUGUGGUGAAACAAAGUGAAGAGACCUUCACAAAGUUGCUGUUUUUUCAACUUUGAUAGCCUACAUUAGACAGCAUGGCUGAAUAUAUUCACCAUCUCCGCCAGCUUGAUCGGAACAGAGAGUUGAUAGGCAGACCUCAGAGAGGCCUUCGUGACCCAUGAACCCUUUUGAAGUGUAUGAUGAUAAGUCAUUUCGGACCAGGUACUGGUUUUCCAAAGAGACAGCGCUCUACCUCAUCAACUUGGUGGAUGAAGAGCUGAGGAGGACGACAGACAGAAACGACCCAAUACCUAUACAGGGUCAUUCCAAAAGAUGCAUGGUGAUGAGGCACAACUUUCACAGUCUUCUGUAUGCAGAGUCAUCAAAGACGUGUCAGAAGC